GUUUGCUUAGCACAUGUGAGGCACUGGGUUUGAUCCUCAGCACCACAUAAAAAUAGAUAAAUAAAAUAAAAAACUGUACUUUAAGAGUUUGAUGAUAUAGUUUAUUAAUGAUAUACAAAUAAUUAUUAUAACUUUUCUUCAUCCUUUUACAUUUCAGAGAAAACAUUUUGAAGAAAACUGGACACAGACUGAGCAAAACCAAACAGAAGAGCAAAAGAAAAAGAAACAAAAAGCAUAAUAUUCUUACUGAAAUUGUGGAUGAAAACUCAUUUGAAACCUUAAAUUAUCUUAAAAUAGGAGAUCAGGUCCCAAAUGAAGAGGAAGAUUUUGAAGAGAACGAAAGAGAAUCAGUGUGUCCCUUCACUGGUGGCCAUUUCGUGAAUGGCUAUAAAGAAAAAAGUCAGAAAAGCAUAGAUCCUGAAGACAAUUUUCCAAAUGUUAUAUCUAUAGUUGAGUUGGACAAGACACCAGAUAAUUACUUCCCUAAGGAAAAUGAUGACUUGUUUCUAACUUUGUCAUCAAUCCCAAAUGAAAGCUCUGUAACUUGUCCAACAGGGACUCAAAAUCUUUCCUAUGUAACAAGGGAUGACUCCUUGGGUAUGAAGAUAGAAAAGCAUGUUGGAAAUAGGCAAAACUUAUCAUUAGACACCCAGGAACUAUUUGCUGAUAAAACCCCAUGUUCAUUUAUGCAGAAAAGAGAGAUGGUAAAUAAAAGUCUCUCAAAUGAACCAAUUCUUUGCCAUCAACGUGGAUCCCGAACUUCAGAUAAUGUUUUAAGAGAGGAACAAGGAGUGCAUACAACUAAAAACAAUUAUUGGGCUUUUUUCACAACCAAUUCAUCUGAAGAAGAAUUACAACGAGGCUCUGAAAGACAAUCUUAUUUUGGUAGCUGGCCUGAGGGACCGCAUAAGUUUGUAUGUGAACAGAGACCAAAGAAAGAUAGAUCACGUAAACUGACCCAUCCUGACAGUGGAGAACAAUUGAUUAAAUUAAUCUCCACUUCUGAAGGAGUAUCAGGACCAGGAAGUGGUCCAGAAAUAUUGACAGAGGAGAAACUACUGAUAGAAAAUGAAGAUUUGUCACAUCCAACUGAAACUAUAGAUUCAUUCAUGAAAACAGACACAAAUAUCCUCAGCAGCUACUUAUCACAACUGGACAUCACCCAAAGUGCCUUACAAUCAACAACUAAUAAGAAAAGGAGAGAGAAUAGAAUUUUAAAUUUGGUACCAAACUUACUGGGACAGAGUCAUUUCAAUGCAAAAAAAGGGGAGAAAUGUGGCCUGUUACCUAAAAACUUUGGAUUGAACAUUAUUUGGGGAGAAAUAAAAGAUAGAAUUUCAGAAAUCAAUAACCAAGAAGAGAAUGAGCAAAAAGUUAUGAUCUUUGAUCAUCAUUCAUUGUGGUUUUACCCUGAUAUUAUCAAAGAUUCAUCUCUAAAUAUUGGUGGAAAUUUUUAUUCUCACUACUUGUCAUUUAGUAGACUAGGGUAUGCUCUGUAUUUUUACAGAAGCCCUAUUCCUUCUCUUGUAUUGCAUUAUAUAUCUAGCUUUUGGAUGGUAUCUUUUACCAACAAAAAAACGUUUUUGACUUUCAAAUCACAAACAAGAAUAGGCAAUAAGCUAAAAGAUGUAGGGUUUAUUUCUUCAGAAAUUUUAAUUAGGCAACCUGAUACUUUGUGCUCUUUGAGGGGUACCUCUGAAAGAUUUGGUGAAAAGCUGAAGAGAUGGGAAGAAUCUAAGCCAUUACAGUGUUUACCAACUGAGGAUCUCCAAAAUUUAACAAGCACUGAUUUUAAUACCUUUGAGCUUCCAUUAUCAAAAGGAUUUGCCUUUCAACUAGUAACGCUUUUUGGAUCUCCUGGAGUUCCAAUGGGUAAAUUGCUUUCAUUUACUAACAAUAAAAGGUCUAUGUGCAGUAAAUUCUUAUUUUUUUAUAUAUCAUAUAUAUAUAUAUAUAUAUAUGGAUAGAUAUUUGUCAUAUAUAUGUGUGUGUAUAUAUGUGUGUGUGUGUGUGUGUGUAUAUAUAUAUAUAUUUUUUUUUAUUUUUUAUUUAUUUUUUUGUGGUGCUGGGGAUUGAAACUAGGGCCUUGUACCUGUGAGGCAAGCACUCUACCAACUGAGCUAUAUCCCUAACCCCUGUCAUAUAUAUUUAUAUAUAAAUUUUACACAUGAAAAUUUUAAGUGUCUGUUCCAAAACCAACCAAGAGUAAAUUUAAAUGGCAAAUGGAAACUAAAAAGAAAAACAAAAAGAACCAUUUAUAGCACAAAAUAAAGCACUAAUAUUCUUUUUAAAAAAUUAUUUGCUAUCUUAUUGAAUUUGGAGAGUUCUUAUAUAUUCUGGAAACAUAUUAGAUAUAUACUUUAAAACUAUUUCCAUCUGUCUAUGGUAUCUUCUUGUCCUAUUCAUUAAGUGUCUUCUAAAGAGUAGAAGUUUUUAAUUAUGAUGAAGUCAAAUUUAUCAUUGCUAUCUUUUAUAAAUUGUGGUUUGGGUUUUAACCAAGAAAUCUUGGGGUACCCCUGGCUUAAAAAGUAUUUUUCCUAUCUUCUCCUGAAAGUGUUUCAGUUUUGGAUUUCACAUUUAUAUUUAUGAUCCAUUUUUAGUUUGUGAACAUGAUAUAAGGAAUCGAUUGAAGUUUUUCUUUUUCUAAAGUAUGGAUAUUUAGUUUUAGGACCAUUUAGUGAGAAUACUUUCCUUUCUCCACUCAAUUGAAUUUGUACCCUUAUUUAAAACAAGUUUAUGUAUACAAUUAUUUUUUUUUAAAAUUUUUCCAUAGCUUUAUUGGGGUAAAACAGAAGUCAAUAAAAUAUACAUAUUUGAAGUAUGCAAUUUGAUCAGUUUUGACAUGUAUGUAACCUAUACAAUCAAUAUUAAACUCAUUUCCAUUACUUUUUUAAAAUUUGAAAUCAUGCAGACUGUGUUUCCUGCAGUAAUAUUCUUAAUAGAAAGUGCUCUCAUAAGUCAAUAAGAAAGCAAGUAAAUUCUUAAGUUGUUUCUACCUGGUGUUAGUGAUUUCAUGUAAUUUAUUGGUUGUGUGAUAACUUUUAACCCCCAAAAUGAGGAUCCUUAGUUAAGGAACUUUGCCUUUUACAGUUCCCAUCCCUUGCCACCAGAAUAGUCUUCAUAAAUGUCAUUGAGUGCCUAAAAUAUCUGGACUCUCCAUUUAAGUAGACACUGAGAAGAAUGAAGGAUGAGGCGGACAUACAGUGACCAUGUAACAGAGAUGGGCUGCUUUAUUAUUACUUUUUUCAAACUUUCUACUUUUUACCUUUCCCUUGUUUGGCACAUGGCCCUUUUCUCAUGCACAAUUUUGGCUCCCAGAUAUGAGAUUAGUAGAGAUAGCAAAGAUUAAAUGACAAAGACGUUGGAAAUAGUUGAAUGUAUUUUUUAAAGAUUGAGAAGGGUUCUAACAAGAUUAGGAGAGAGUUCAAGUAGUUAGAAAUGUUUUCAAGUUGACUAGUUGAACUCUCUCCUAAUCUCUUAAGAAUGUUAUUUUUGGGGGCUGAGAUUGUAGUUCAGUGGUGAAGCACUUGCCUCACAUAUAUGAGGCACUGGUGCUGAUCCUCAGCACCACAUAAAAAUAAAUAAAAGUGAUAAAGGUAUUGUGUCCAUCUACAACUAAAAAUAUAUAUUUUUUAAAAAAGAAAAUAUUUUUUGAAAAUGAAAAAUCCACCUGUGAAUAAAACAAGGGAAUAUAUGAUUAUCAAUAUUCUAAGUAAAUUUAUAUUUAAUAAUAAUCAUAUUUAAGAUGCUAACUGUCCUAUAGAGGAAAUGGAACACAAAUCCCAACUUUUCCUUCUCUAUUACUCAAUACCUGAUGCUUUCCUAGUACUCUUCCUUAGGAAUAGGUUAAGAGCCAAGAAGCCAAAGUUCCAAUCCCUGGAACUUUGUUCUCCAGUUCUUUUGGAUCUUCCUGUUCUCCUUUACCUACUUGGGUUCCCACACCAUGCUCUGUCUCAAAACAUGUCCUUCCUGGUUUUUCACUUUGCCCCUAAACUUAUGAUGUUCCAGAUAAACUUGGUCUCAGGAACUCAGACCAAAAAUUGCCUAAGUCUCAGUGUGGAGGUCAUAAUUAUCAAUCUAGUUUUGAUAUUCUGAUAUCACAUUGAACAUACUUGUUACCUUUAUGAAAAACUGCAAUUUUUCUAUCCUAAUAAAUGUGCCAACAAGCAAACCAAAAAAACCCCUCGAUUUUUUAAAUUUAAAAUGCAUGAGAAGCUAAUUUUUGAGGCUUUCUCCUUGCUUUUUAAUUCUUAGCCAAGAAUAAACCUUCACUGCUAAAAAAUAAAUAUAAUGAAUAAAUAAAUGAAAUAUGUUUGUUUUGAAGAAUUUUAAGACAUUUUAGGCCAGGGAUCUUAGUUCAAGGUUUAUAUUCUGAAAUUACAUGCAAAUUUUUUUGGUAUUAUUUUGUGCCCCUUUCUUGGUGGAAGUCCAUAGAUUUUAUUAGCUUCUCCUAGAGGUCCAUGACCCAGAAAGAUUAACAGUUACUGCCUUAGAUCAGUAAGAAAAAGCAAGAAGUCACAGGUGUAAAGAUUCUAAACCUCUUCCUCUCUUGAAUCAACAAUGAUCAAGCAUCCAUUAAUUAGACUUCAAAAACUUUUUAAAGGAAAUAGACCUUAUUCAUCAAAUAGCUUACUUUCUAACUGGGGAAACAAAAAUAACAAAAUACAAUUACUGCACAUAGAAAAUAUACAUGACAAGCUUAUGAAUAUUUUAUGAGCGAGAUUAGCAGUGCUAAAGGGAUUGUUGAAGAGAAGAUGGGGUUGUGGUUUUGUUUGGGAUCCUUUCAUUAUGAAAGUGAAUUAUAAGCAGUCUUUAUACAAAAGAAAAAGAAUAUGGCUUGAAAAACAAGCAAAGAGAAAGAAUUUCACAUUUGAAAAUGGCAUGUGCUUACAAAAAGGGAGAGAAAGAAACUCUAAGUGGAGGCUGUAAACUGAUUUGCUUGGCUAAAUUGGACAAGCCAAGCCAUGAUGUAUGAUCAGUGGCCUUGUAAAUAAGGCAGGGAACUCAAAUGAAUCCUAGUAAAAGAAAAAUAAUUUUUGUGGUUUGGCAUGGCUGAUGUUGUAUGUUAUGGUUGUGUGUUAAUGUUUGGACUUGUUUAUGAGCUGCUUCAUUUUGAGGAAAAUUUCCCCCAGACACUCAUAUGGAAGAAACAAUUUUUAGGAAGACUAAAUUUGCUAUAGCUGAAAUGCUUAAUACGUGUCACAGAAAAGGAUGACUAUUUAAAUUUUAUGCCUUGAGACAGUACCACUUAAAGCUAUUAUAUAUGUGUAUGUCUUUAUGUAUAUAUAUUUGUACUUAAUGAGAGUAUGGACUAUGAUACAUAUCAUUUUAUAUAUGUACUUAAUAAGAAUUUUCUUUUAGUCUGGGUACUGUUUACUAAUAGAAGUCUGAGACGGACUCUUGAUUUAGCCAACACUGAAAUAUCUUCAAAAUCAGAGUGUUAAUGUUAUAGCAGCUUACAUUGCAUAUCUUUACAUUUAGGGUGAAAAAUCUGUGUGACAUAUGUGAUGAAAUUUGUUUCUCCUUUUUUUUUUCACAGAAUCCUUAUUACCUGAUGACUAUGUUAUUCCCCUUGACUGGAAAACACUGAAGAUGAUCUAUUUGCAAUGGAAGAUGUCAAUAGAGGUAUAUUUUUAUAGCUUUCACAGAAGAUCUUCUCUUAACUGU
Molecule: long non-coding RNA, 5667 nt
Filed under: Marmota monax (woodchuck)
Lineage: Eukaryota; Metazoa; Chordata; Mammalia; Rodentia; Sciuridae
Source: RNAcentral